UAUACUAUCCAUUUUUUAUCGGGUCCGGUUUGGGUCCGGAUAGGGUUCGGGUAGGGUCCGGAUCGGGUAUAGUAUAUCGGAUAUUUUGGACAGCUUUAGUAAUUUUCGGCUCAAUAGAGCGUUUGAUAACUCACUUUUAAAAUCUGCUUCUGCUUUUUAGAAUCAGAAAAAAAAUUUUGAGGGCCUCAGAAUCAGAAGCAGAAAAAAGCUGCUUCUUGAAAACUGAUUCUGAUUUUGGAUUUAAACUUCAAAAUUUUAUUUUUAUUUUAGUUUUAAUAUUUAAAUUUAAUUUUAAUUUUAAAUUUUAAAUUUUAAUUUUCAGAUUCAUUUUAAAAUUUUU
RNAcentral lists this long non-coding RNA (340 nucleotides) under Ananas comosus (pineapple). RNAcentral's name for it is "long non-coding RNA (ACOM_LNC029321)". The record is from RNAcentral. Lineage: Eukaryota; Viridiplantae; Streptophyta; Magnoliopsida; Poales; Bromeliaceae.